Molecule: non-coding RNA, 619 nt
Organism: Chelonoidis abingdonii (Abingdon island giant tortoise)
Lineage: Eukaryota; Metazoa; Chordata; Testudines; Testudinidae
Source: RefSeq, a predicted model, not a curated record
CCUAGCGGACGCCGAGGGUUGGUUGGUGGCCGCGGACUCCGGCCGACGCGUGGCCUGGUGACUUGUGGGAGUUGUAGUCCGGGCUGCGGGAGGCGGCGGUGCGGGCGCCCAGGGAAAGACUCCAACUCCCAUCGGGCCCCUCGGGCACCGGCUGACAAGGGAGCCAAAACAACCAUGGCGGCGGCGAGCUGGCGGCGGUGCUGGUGUCAGCGCAAGCGUGGCUCCACAUCCCGGCAGUGAGCGGACUAUACUGUGGCUUCACAAUGUUUGGAGACUUAUUUGAAGAGAACUUUUCCUUUGUGUCAAAUAAUCAAUGUGGAAAAGGGAAGAAAUCAAAGUCCAAAGAUACCGAGCCUCCCGCUCCAAGGGAGUUCACCAAAUUAAGUGGUAUCAAAAAUCAGGGUGGGACCUGCUACCUCAAUUCCCUUCUCCAGACUUUGCAUUUCACGCCAGAAUUUAGAGAAGCACUGUUUUCCCUAGGCCCUGAAGAACUUGGUUCUCUGGAAGAUAUCAAUAAACCAGAUGUAAAGGUUCGAAUAAUUCCAUUACAGUUACAACGAUUAUUUGCUCAACUUUUGCUCUUAGAUCAGCAGGCUGCAUCUACAACAGACCUCACUGA